AUUGAACGCUGGCGGCAGGCUUAACACAUGCAAGUCGAACGAGUGGCGGACGGGUGAGUAAUGCUUGGGAAUCUGGCUUAUGGAGGGGGAUAACGACGGGAAACUGUCGCUAAUACCGCAUACCAUCAGAUGUGCCCAGAUGGGAUUAGCUAGUAGGUGGGGUAACGGCUCACCUAGGCGACGAUCCCUAGCUGGUCUGAGAGGAUGACCAGCCACACUGGAACUGAGACACGGUCCAGACUCCUACGGGAGGCAGCAGUGGGGAAUAUUGCACAAUGGGCGCAAGCCUGAUGCAGCCAUGCCGCGUGUGUGAAGAAGGCCUUCGGGUUGUAAAGCACUUUCAGCGGGGAGGCGUUACCCGCAGAAGAAGCACCGGCUAACUCCGUGCCAGCAGCCGCGGUAAUAC
Molecule: ribosomal RNA, 406 nt
Filed under: uncultured bacterium
Lineage: Bacteria
Description: partial 16S ribosomal RNA
Rfam family: Bacterial small subunit ribosomal RNA
Source: RNAcentral